AGACAGGAGCAGCGACACCCCUGCCACGCCUGCCGCCUGGAGUUGAGUGGGGUCCCCGUGCCGCCUUCAGCGCGCCUCCUUAUGCACCUCUACCUCUGCUGCAGCGUACCUCUUCCGCAGCCCUAGCGGCCUCCCCGAGGGGCGCCGCGGCCUCGGCUGUCCCUCCCCUGCCUGGCACGACCACCUGACCCCCAGCGACCCAAGAAGCAAGUUGUGUUUGCAGACGCAAAGGGGCUGUCGUUGGUAUCGGUGCACUGGUUUGAAGCCACUGCGGGCACAGCCUGAAGAGGGCCGGUGUCCCGCGUGCAGCCUCCCCGGCCCGGCCUCCUCCUGCUGCAGAACCGCCCCCCACGCCCGGGCUGCUGCGCCCCAGGAGGGACUAGCGGGUAUUCAGGGAUGCCCGCACUCUCGGGGGCGAGCCUGCAGCUGUGUGCCCUGUAGGGGCUUCCUGCGGGGCACCGUGAGCGCAGGUGGGGACAAGCGGGCCGUGCAGAUGCGCACCCCCUGGAUGCCUGGGGCUCCUUCCAACAAGAGCCCUGUGUUGGAAUGCCGGGUCCCCGCCGAGGUGAGAGGGUCGGCUUCGCCUUCCAGGUGGUGUUGCCGCCGAGUACCCUGGCCCCGCGGGCCACCGUCCAGUUCUGCUUCUCUUUAGAGCGUGCUCAGCGGCCUUUCGGGGACAGUAAUCAAAGGCAAAACUACAGCUGGGUGCCGGGUUCGCCGUCCUGCUCAUCAGAAUGAAGCCAGGCUCUGUGAGGGCGCACAGACAGACAGGCUGAGGCCUCUGCGCCUGCCUUUUCCACCUGGGCAAAGCGUGAUUUCUUGUCCAGGACGCGCGUGUUUCCCAUGUCGGGGAACUUUGCUCAAUCUGUUUUCUUGCUCCUGAAUUCAUAAUGGGGAAACAGGACUGAUUCAACUCCUAGUCCCUGCAGAAGGCCUCGAAUGCCUUGCAUUCUUCUCUCACUUCCUGACUACAAGGGAUGAGGUUUUGCUUUAGGAAGAUUCUGGGAAUGGAGUCGGGAAACCGAAGAAAUGCAAAUAAAGUAUUUAUAUGUAAUUAUUGAAAGGGCUUAGCAGAGAGUGUCUAAGGACCGUGGGUGGUGUGUGCGUGCGCAUGUGUGUAUGUUUGUGUGUGUAUUGCAGAGGUUGGGGAGGGGUUCUUUACGUUAAAGAUGGGAGAGAGAACUUUGCCCUUCUACUUUCCUCUCCAUCUAGGAAGGGCUACUUUCCUGGUAACUUGAAAUAGUCAGGCUUAUUCCACUUUUGCCAAAAGGAAUGUUCAUUAAAGCAUCUUCAACAGUUGAUAUAAUAAACACUUUUUCUCCCUCUUCAUCAUAUAAAAGUGUGGGGAGACUCUGUCUCUGUUCAUUUCAAAAUAUGGGUACUUUUAAAAACACUUAUUUUCAGUAGUUUAGUACACUUUAAUUUUUAAUUUUAAUUUUUAUUAUUAUUUUUUAGACAGUAUCUCCUCAUGUUGUCCAAACUGGUCUUGAACUCCUGGGUUCAACUGGUCCUCCUGCCUAAGGAUCACUCAGAGUGUUGGGAUUACAGGUGUGAGCCAUGGUGCCUGGGUACUACUUUUUUUUUUUUUUUUUUUUUGAGAUGGAGUCUCACCUUGUCACCCAGGUUGGAGUGCAAUGGUGCCAUAUCAGCUCACUGCAAUCUCCACCUCCUGGGUUCAAAUUAUUCUCCUGCCUCAGCCUCCUGUGUAGCUGCGAUUAUAGGCACCUGCCACCAUGCACUGCUAUUUUUUAUAUCUUUAGUAGAGACGGGGUUUCAUCAUGUUGGCCAGGCUGGUCUCAAACUGCUGACCUCGUGAUCCUCCCACCUUGGCCUCCCAAAGUGCUGGGAUUACAGGCGUGAGCCAACACACCCGGCUGCUACUACUUCUUUGAAUGCAAUUUACCUAGACCCAGAAACCUGACCUUUGCCCCCACGGCCCCCAUAGCUCCCCAUUAUGUAUUGAUGGUCCGGUAUUGAAAGCAUCCACUGAAGUGUUUGCCUCCCCCAGGAUGGGAGAAAGUGAGGACAAGUUGGCCUUGGACACAGCCGGCCGCAGGCUGGCCACCCCCCUGGAGCUCAGAACAUAUGGAUUAGAAUAAUAUAUGUGAAUGUGUGCCAAGUAUGCCUCUAGCUUCAAUUUACAGUGUUCUGAGAGCUUUAGAUGUUGGAAGGCUUUAACCUCUUUUCAGGGACUCUUCAUUCUUCGAUUAUUAUUCAUAGAUGACAAAUUUUAAAUAAAAGAUUUCUUUUUGUACACUUUUAUCUCUUCUGAUACUUGAUUUCUUGGACUACAUUUUUUAUGCCAAUGGCAGGUAUUGAGGUUGAACAAGCAACAUUCACUUUAUUUUUUCUUUCUUUCUUUCUUUCUUUUUUUUUUUUUGAGACAGAAUCUUGCUCUGUCACCCAGGCUGGAGCGCAAUGGCACUAUCCUGGCUCACUGCAACCUCUGCCUCACGGGUAAGCGAUUCUCCUCCCUCAGCCUCCCGAGUAGCAGGGAUUACAGGUG
Molecule: long non-coding RNA, 2506 nt
Filed under: Homo sapiens (human)
Lineage: Eukaryota; Metazoa; Chordata; Mammalia; Primates; Hominidae
Description: HSALNT0346352
Source: RNAcentral